This is a long non-coding RNA of Sinocyclocheilus grahami, 89 nucleotides long. RefSeq lists it as uncharacterized. NCBI's taxonomy places the organism in Eukaryota, Metazoa, Chordata, Actinopteri, Cypriniformes, Cyprinidae. The transcript is spliced from 3 exons. The record is from RefSeq and is a predicted model, not a curated record.
ACUGUAUAUAUAUAAAAAAGGUCAUUACAUUUUGGGCACAAUACAUGAAAUACAGCUGGUUGUAGCCUAUUUUUUUACUUAUUUGAUUA